Molecule: non-coding RNA, 930 nt
Organism: Peromyscus maniculatus bairdii (prairie deer mouse)
Lineage: Eukaryota; Metazoa; Chordata; Mammalia; Rodentia; Cricetidae
Source: RefSeq, a predicted model, not a curated record
GAUCCGAUGUUCCAAGACUCUCCAAGGCUGGAGCAAGGGCUCUUCUUCUGAUCUUGUUUCUUCAUAGACAAGAAAGCUGGGGAAGACGGAACAUCCAACAAGGACUUGAGAAGCCCAAGACGUGCCGAUUUCUACCCCCCAGAUCUUUCUAUUUAUGUCCUCUGAGUGUCGGGAUGAAUUUGACUCAGCUGUGAUACAUCAAAAGACGAGGCGCACACACCUUCUGCGCAGCUGCCAGGAGGUGGAGUUUUCUCCAUUCACGAAAGCUCCUGGCUGUCCAGUGCUGCUUUGUGUAAAACUCACAUCCCAGGCCAUCCCCAUCUGGCCAAAGAUGUCGGAGCUCCAUGGAGACGGUCCUCUUCAGUGGUUCCCACUUCCAAUGCCUCGUGUUUGAAAGCCUGUUCAGAGGAGAAAAACAUGAUCUGCGGGGUAUCAGCUGAGCUGAGUGGCCGAGGAGGAGGGGAACAAAAGAGGGACUCGCGUCGCUUUCUGUGUGUUCGUGCCCCUCGGUUCCAUUUUGAGGGAAAAUUUAUGAAUGAGAGAAGAUAAAAUGUGCUUGAAGAUGGAUGGUACUGAUGGCGCCUAAGAGAAUCCAAGGAGCAACACAGUGUUGGAGCUUCCGAGGGGUGUGGCCCUGCUCUCUUGCAUGCACACAUGCGAAGAAAUUGGGGCUGCCUAUAUGUGGUCCUAGCUUUCAUAUCUGAGUCCAUAGUCCAUCCAGAGGAAACUGAGUUUUGAAUCUUUGCAACAUCCUUAUCAUUUUAUCGAUUCCCUCAGAAACGUGAGCGGCUAUCUAGCUACCAUUAUGUAGUGUCAGGUGAGUGUUAGGAUUCUGCUCUCAUUCCUCAGGGUCUGGCGUCUUCCGUCAUCAGCAGGUGCUGGCAACUAUGUACCCAUUGUGUGGUCACGCAAUCCCACCCUAAAAAAGUG